RNAcentral lists this ribosomal RNA (474 nucleotides) under uncultured bacterium. RNAcentral describes it as "partial 16S ribosomal RNA". It matches the Rfam family "Bacterial small subunit ribosomal RNA", at positions 28 to 507 of the family's 1533-position model. The record is from RNAcentral.
GAUGAACGCUAGCGGCAGGCCUAACACAUGCAAGUCGAGGGAGGAGCCUUCGGGCUUCGACCGGCGUACGGGUGCGUAACGCGUAUACAAUCUGCCUUUCACAUAGGGAUAGCCCGAAGAAAUUUGGAUUAAUACCUAAUGGUAUAUAGAUGUGGCAUCACCUUUAUAUUAAAGCUGAGGCGGUGAAAGAUGGGUAUGCGUUCUAUUAGCUAGUUGGAGAGGUAACGGCUCCCCAAGGCGACGAUAGAUAGGGGUUCUGAGAGGGAUAUCCCCCACACUGGUACUGCGAUACGGACCAGACUCCUACGGGAGGCAGCAGUGAGGAAUAUUGGACAAUGGUCGGAAGACUGAUCCAGCCAUGCCGCGUGCAGGAAGACGGCCUUAUGGGUUGUAAACUGCUUUUGCAGGGGAAGAAUAAGGACUACGCGUAGUUUGAUGACGGUACUCUGCGAAUAAGCAUCGGCUAACUCCGUG